GUGAGUCAUCGAAUCUUUGAACGCACAUUGCGCCCUUUGGUAUUCCGAAGGGUAUGCCUGUUUGAGUGUCAUUAAAUUCUCAAACCAAUGGAUGAGUUUAUUCUAAUCCAUUUGGUUUGGAUCUGAGGGCUUUGUCGGACUCUAACGAGGUCGACUCCCUUUAAAAGCAUUAGCGGAUUUGACCAUCGCGGAUACGCCUCGAUUUGAUAAUAUCUAUGUCGUCGCGCUGAAGCGGUAAUCUGCUCCUAAUCGUCUUCGGACAAUUACUUUGACAAUUUGACCUCAAAUCAGGUAGGACUA
Molecule: unclassified non-coding RNA, 300 nt
Filed under: uncultured Tricholomataceae
Lineage: Eukaryota; Fungi; Basidiomycota; Agaricomycetes; Agaricales; Tricholomataceae
Description: sequence contains 5.8S rRNA gene, ITS2
Rfam family: 5.8S ribosomal RNA (bases 1-71)
Source: RNAcentral